UGCAAGUCGAACGCGAAAGUCCCCUUCGGGGGACAAGUAGAGUGGCGCACGGGUGAGUAACACGUAGGUAAUCUACCUUUGGAUGGGGAAUAACAACCGGAAACGGUUGCUAAUACCGCAUAAUGCAGCGGCACCUAAUGGUGACAGUUGUUAAAGCGGGGGAUCGAAAGACCUCGCGUCUGAAGAGGAGCCUGCGGCGGAUUAGCUAGUUGGUAAGGUAAUGGCUUACCAAGGCUACGAUCCGUAACCGGCCUGAGAGGGCGGUCGGUCACACUGACACUGACAUACGGGUCAGACUCCUACGGGAGGCAGCAGUCGGGAAUUUUGGGCAAUGGGCGAAAGCCUGACCCAGCAACGCCGCGUGAAGGAUGAAAUCCCUCGGGAUGUAAACUUCGCAAGAACGGGAAGAAUUAGUAGGGGUCAAUACCCCCUAUGAUGACGGUACCGUUUGUAAGCUCCGGCUAACUCCGUGCCAGCAGCCGCGGUAAUACGGGGGGAGCAAGCGUUGUUCGGAUUUACUGGGCGUAAAGGGCGCGUAGGCGGCCAGCACAAGUCAGUUGUGAAAUCUCCGAGCUUAACUCGGAAAGGUCAACUGAUACUGUGCGGCUAGAGUGCAGAAGGGGCAACUGGAAUUCUUGGCGUAGCGGUGAAAUGCGUAGAUAUCAAGAGGAACACCUGCGGCGAAGGCGGGUUGCUGGGCUGACACUGACGCUGAGGCGCGAAAGCUAGGGGAGCGAACGGGAUUAGAUACCCCGGUAGUCCUAGCCUUAAACGAUGAAUGCUUGGUGUCUGGGGUUAUAAAGUCCCCGGGUGCCGUCGCUAACGCUUUAAGCAUUCCGCCUGGGGAGUACGGUCGCAAGACUGAAACUCA
RNAcentral lists this ribosomal RNA (871 nucleotides) under uncultured Acidobacteriaceae bacterium. Its description in RNAcentral is "bacterial SSU rRNA". It matches the Rfam family "Bacterial small subunit ribosomal RNA", at positions 56 to 903 of the family's 1533-position model. Lineage: Bacteria; Pseudomonadati; Acidobacteriota; Terriglobia; Terriglobales; Acidobacteriaceae. The record is from RNAcentral.